AUCGCUUCUCAAGCCUUUGGCUAAAGAUCCAAGUGUAACUAUUCUUAUCAGUUUAAUAUCGAUAUGUCUCUAUAGAGGGAUUAAAUAUUAAAUGCAUUUUUGAGCAGUGGGAAGUGCAACUGGGCUUUUCCUCUUCACUCCUUUGACGUGACCUGAAGCCAUUGCAGUGCCACCGGGAACGGUGCACCAUUC
This is a small nuclear RNA of Solea senegalensis (Senegalese sole), 192 nucleotides long. RefSeq annotates it as U2 spliceosomal RNA. The transcript has a single exon. Lineage: Eukaryota; Metazoa; Chordata; Actinopteri; Pleuronectiformes; Soleidae. The record is from RefSeq and is a predicted model, not a curated record.